CCUACGGGAGGCAGCAGUGGGGAAUUUUGGACAAUGGGCGAAAGCCUGAUCCAGCAAUGCCGCGUGUGGGAAGAAGGCCUUCGGGUUGUAAACCACUUUUGUACGGAACGAAACGGUUCGCUUUAAUACAGUGGGCUAAUGACGGUACCGUAAGAAUAAGCACCGGCUAACUACGUGCCAGCAGCCGCGGUAAUACGUAGGGUGCGAGCGUUAAUCGGAAUUACUGGGCGUAAAGCGUGCGCAGGCGGUCAUAUAAGACAGUUGUGAAAUCCCCGGGCUCAACCUGGGAAUUGCAUCUGUGACUGUAUAGCUAGAGUACGGUAGAGGGGGAUGGAAUUCCGCGUGUAGCAGUGAAAUGCGUAGAUAUGCGGAGGAACACCGAUGGCGAAGGCAAUCCCCUGGACCUGUACUGACGCUCAUGCACGAAAGCGUGGGGAGCAAACAGGAUUAGAUACCCUGGUAGUCCACGCCCUAAACGAUGUCAACUGGUUGUUGGGUGCAUUAGUACUCAGUAACGAAGCUAACGCGUGAAGUUGACCGCCUGGGGAGUACGGCCGCAAGGUUGAAACUCAAGGAAUUGACGGCUGAGACGNGCGAGACGACGACGAGGGAGAGG
RNAcentral lists this ribosomal RNA (616 nucleotides) under uncultured bacterium. RNAcentral's name for it is "bacterial SSU rRNA". It matches the Rfam family "Bacterial small subunit ribosomal RNA", at positions 338 to 947 of the family's 1533-position model. The record is from RNAcentral.